UACGAAGGGGCGUAGCGUUGUUCGGAAUUACUGGGCGUAAAGGGUAGCGUAGGUGGUUAUGUAAGUCAGAAGUGAAAGCCCUGGGCUCAACCCGGGAAUUGCUUUUGUAAACUAUUUAGCUAGAGUUCGAGAGAGGUAAGUGGAAUAUCCAGUGUAGAGGUAAAAUUCGUAGAUAUUGGAUGGAACACCAGUGGCGAAGGCGGCUUACUGGCUCGAUACUGACACUGAGGUGCG
Molecule: ribosomal RNA, 234 nt
Filed under: uncultured bacterium
Lineage: Bacteria
Description: partial 16S ribosomal RNA
Rfam family: Bacterial small subunit ribosomal RNA
Source: RNAcentral